Molecule: long non-coding RNA, 1353 nt
Organism: Mytilus californianus (California mussel)
Lineage: Eukaryota; Metazoa; Mollusca; Bivalvia; Mytilida; Mytilidae
Exons: 3
Source: RefSeq, a predicted model, not a curated record
UUCAGAGAGAAACCUUUGAGAGAAACACAUCUUAAGCAACAUAAAAAGUACAUUCCGCACUCUGACACGUCGUAUGACUUUGAGAUUAACAAGUCUGAGGUCCUUCAGCCUGAAGAUUAUGAACAACCUGAACAAAAACAACUAGCAAGUAACAACACAUAUUCCGAUAUAACUUGCACAUAUGAUGAGGAAGAAAGGCGCAGAAAACGAAGGCGUAGAAAGAAAAAGAAGAACAAACGUCUUCACGAUCAACAGAUGCGUGACAACGAAUUUAUUUUAGAAGAUAAGAGAGACAAUAUUAGGUAUUACGUUCCGCGGUAAGGUCAAUAACAUGAUACCUUCAUGAUGUCACGUGAUCAUGACCAUGAUAUAAUGACCGGUGAAGAAUUUAUUAUGAACUGGAGUAAUCUGACAUAUAAGAUAUCGUUUGUCAUUAAAGAACUGAAAAUUUUGAUAAAGCGUUUUUAUAGUAAGCAUGGCAUACAAAGUUUAACAUAUUAGUUCUGAAUGAUAUUACCUAUGUUUGUCAUCAUAGUAACAUACUUUUCGACGUGUUAAUGUAAUUGUGUUUGAUAGUACCUUCAAAUAAAGGCUUUAGAUGGUAGAGAAAUACGUGAGAAGUUUAAAAAAGGAACCUUGUCAUAACCAUCAACUUUGUAUACUUUUAGAAAAAAAAAUCAUCUUAUUUUGCAAAAUUGUUACACUGAGAUAAAUCUUAUGUAAUCAAUGUGUGCUUACUUUUCAUGUACAUUACUAUAUAUACUAGUUCAAAAGUCAAUAUUAUGAUAUGUUUUCAUUAAACUACAAGUUACUAUAAAUUUAAAGGGACAUUAUUUAUCUAGGAUUUUUUUUUGUUUCAAACAUUUAUCAAAGCGGAAUUGUGAAAUGAUUUCAGCAGUCAGGUUUGUUUAAUUUUGUCAAAAUAUGCUCAAAAAGAUUCCUUUCGUUGAAAAAUCAUUCAAAUAAAGGUAAAAUGAUGAUUUACUAUAUUUUUAAUCUAUGACAUGAAAUCAAACAAACGAUACAUUACAACGAGUCCAUGCAUUGUGAAUUGAUUCUUUAGUACUUUUUGUAAUUUGGAUAAACGUUCAAACAUGUUAUAAUUAAUAUAUCAAAUUUUGAGUCGAAAUGGUAAACAUGACUUUGACAGCUAAUGCCUCUUUAAUUAUAGUUUUUAUUGUGUGUGGAUUUAAUAAUGUGUUGUCUGGUUAUCUUCAGUCACAAAAGGUAUCUGUGUGUUUGAAUGUUAUAAAGCAUUUGUUGUUUUUUUAAGUAAAUUUUAAAAUUUUGUUUAUAGGUUAACUUUUAUAUUCAUAUAACAUAUAUCUAAAUAAAUUUAAUUUGUUUUAUUUA